This 500-nucleotide ribosomal RNA is filed under the name uncultured bacterium. Its description in RNAcentral is "partial 16S ribosomal RNA". It matches the Rfam family "Bacterial small subunit ribosomal RNA", at positions 30 to 523 of the family's 1533-position model. The record is from RNAcentral.
AUUGAACGCUGGCGGCAUGCCUUACACAUGCAAGUCGAACGGCAGCACGGGAGCAAUCCUGGUGGCGAGUGGCGAACGGGUGAGUAAAGUAUCGGAACGUGCCCAGUCGUGGGGGAUAACGUAGCGAAAGUUACGCUAAUACCGCAUACGAUCUCUGGAUGAAAGCGGGGGAUCGCAAGACCUCGCGCGAUUGGAGCGGCCGAUAUCAGAUUAGGUAGUUGGUGGGGUGAAGGCUCACCAAGCCGACGAUCUGUAGCUGGUCUGAGAGGACGACCAGCCACACUGGGACUGAGACACGGCCCAGACUCCUACGGGAGGCAGCAGUGGGGAAUUUUGGACAAUGGGCGCAAGCCUGAUCCAGCCAUGCCGCGUGUAGGAUGAAGGCCUUCGGGUUGUAAACUGCUUUUGUACGGAACGAAAAGGUUUGGCUUAAUACGUUGAACUCAUGACGGUAUCGUAAGAAUAAGCACCGGCUAACUACGUGCCAGCCGCCGCAGUAA